This 93-nucleotide ribosomal RNA is filed under the name Symmetrospora pseudomarina. RNAcentral describes it as "partial 28S ribosomal RNA". Lineage: Eukaryota; Fungi; Basidiomycota; Cystobasidiomycetes; Symmetrosporaceae. The record is from RNAcentral.
UCUAACCUUUAAAUCGUUAGUGGUGCUUCUAAUGCAUUUAUAAUUUAAGCUUUAGACCUCAAAUCAGUCAGGACUACCCGCUGAACUUAAGCA